CACCCCUGGCAGUGGGCAAAGAGGCACCUUGUUUGUGCCAUUGUUCUUAUGUCAGUCAGGGGCAGAGCAGAGGGCAGCCCUUUGUUCAUCCCAGCUUGAUGCCUGGCUUGAUGACCAAAGCUGUUUCAUGCCUAGGGCACAUAA
Molecule: small nucleolar RNA, 144 nt
Organism: Mastomys coucha (southern multimammate mouse)
Lineage: Eukaryota; Metazoa; Chordata; Mammalia; Rodentia; Muridae
Product: small nucleolar RNA SNORA48
Exons: 1
Source: RefSeq, a predicted model, not a curated record